RNAcentral lists this ribosomal RNA (473 nucleotides) under uncultured rumen bacterium. RNAcentral describes it as "bacterial SSU rRNA". It matches the Rfam family "Bacterial small subunit ribosomal RNA", at positions 57 to 506 of the family's 1533-position model. The record is from RNAcentral.
GCAAGUCGAGCGGUAAAGGGGGUCCACCGUGUCCUUGACACUCCGGGCUGAAUGCGGGAGGUUAGAUUUCGAGGAUACAGUGGAACCCUGCUGACGAGCGGCGGACGGCUGAGUAACGCGUGGGAACGGACCCCAAAGUGAGGGAUAACUACUCGAAAGAGUGGCUAAUACCGCAUGUGAUCUUCGGAUUAAAGCUUUUGCGCUUUGGGACUGGCCUGCGUACGAUUAGAUAGUUGGUGAGGUAAAGGCUCACCAAGUCGACGAUCGUUAGAUGGUUUGAGAGGAUGAUCAUCCAGACUGGGACUGAGACACGGCCCAGACUCCUACGGGAGGCAGCAGUAGGGAAUCUUUCACAAUGGGCGAAAGCCUGAUGGAGCAACGCCGCGUGCAGGAUGAAGGCCUUCGGGUUGUAAACUGCUUUUAUAUCCGAGAAAUAUGAUGGUAAGAUAUGAAUAAGGACCGGCUAACUACGU